UUUUGUCUUACACACUGAAGUAUUUAGGAAUAAAAAAGCAUCAAGUCUGCAACUUAUUCUCAAAUAGUUCAGAAAAAAUUAUAUAAACAUAUGCUAAUAUUAUAUUAUAAAUACAUACAGGAGGCAGAGUGAGGAGAAAGGAAGGGCAGAGGGGAAGGGUGGGGAGAGUGAAGAAAAUUUAACGUGGUAAAGUAUUAAAGUUGGGAAAUCUGAGUGGAAGGUAUAAGAGGUUCUUUGACUCUUCACGCAACUUUUACAGAUGAAAUUAUUUCAAAGGAAUGUUUUCAAAUCAUAUAGAUAUGGAAAGAUUCAAAAUAUUCUCUCAAUAAUGGAACAGAUUAAUUAAAACGUCAGGUGAAAAUGGCUAGGUGGCAAUGUCAUGGACAGUUCAGUAUCAUUUCUGCCAUUUAAAAUUAUGGGAAAUUAUUUCAAAUUGCAUGCUUAAAUAUGGGAAAUAUUACCAUAAGUUAUAUGAUGAAAUUCUUCAAUUGUUUAACACGGGGUCCCACAUUUUCACCCAUGAAUUAGGUAGCCCCAUCAAUUGCUGUAAUAUUUUCAUAAAAAUAACCAAAAUAAAUUAGUUAUUUCUGGAUAGGAAUAUAUCCGGGUGUUUAUUAAAUUAUUCUAUGUAUUUUCAGUAUGCCAAAAUGUUUUCUCAAGUUAACAAGGAUCUUUUCUUAGGUUUAUCUUAAGAUGCUAAUAUAGCCUGUGGUGAUAAAACUAGAAAAAAAAAGCAGCAAUAACAACCAAUAUUCACCAUUUUAAAGUUUUUUUAAGUUUGUUAAAUUUAUUUUGCUAUAAUUUACAUUUAAGGAAAAAUAUAAUUUCAUGAUAAAUCCCUAGAGUUUCUCUUCCAACCAAAUCACUACCCCAACUUUCCUAUAAAUAAGCUCUCAAACCACCAUUCAUAAGACAAUCCGGUUACCUUGGUGCUUUGCAUAUUUCACAUCUAUCAUAGGCUAAAGUGUGUAGUUUGGUUAAUAGCACAACUCCAUGAAUUCAUGUCUUAUCACAGGAGUAGAACUAUUAACAGCUCCAUGCAUUCAAUUCCCUCCACAUACACACAGCAAUUUAAUAGCCAGCCUUUUCUGUUUUCCCUGCUCACUCUGCCUGCAGCUUUCCUUUUGUCUUUUGCAUUCUUCCUUGCUUUUCUUAUUGUUGGAUGUCUUUGCUACUCAGGAUUUAGCUUAAUUUAAUUCUCACCUUACACUUUCCCCUGGUUUCACUUCUCCACCGUCUCCUUCUGCUCUGUAUUUGCAGCUGUUCCUGACCUCAUCACCAAACUAGGUAUCUCUCUUUUUUACAACAGCAUUUGAACUACCCUGAACUAGAGUUUACUUUAAAAGAAGUCUUGGCUCAGGAUGCUCUUCCCUCAUCUGGAUCCUCUGCAAGGACCUCUCUGCUGAAACAUCGCCUCUUCAAAACUUUUCUUUAGCCACACCUACAAUCCCUCCCCUCCUUCCAAGGCCAUCACUCCAUCCCCUCCCUCCAUUAUUUUUAUCACAUCACUCACGACUCUGGAUAUUCUCUCAUUUAUUUGUGUAGUUACGCAUAUUACACUCUCCUUCAUUAGAUAGAACCUAAGCCCUGGGAGGUUAAGAGGCUCUAUAUUCCUUGUCCCCUGCUCUAAGCCUGGCACUUAAAACAGGACUUAGCACACAGCAAGCAUCUAAUGUCUAUUGGAGAAAUAAACUUAGAUUGAUAGGCAGAGAAAAAGAGAGAAGGAUUUGCAGAGACAGAGAAGGGAAGUGCAAAAAUGUCCAUGCUUUUGGAACAAGGUCAGAGCAAGAUUUUUCCAAGAGCCUGAAGGAUGCCAGGAGAAUACAAGCACAGGCUUGGAGGAAGCUGGUGGCACCUGGGUCCCUGGAAACCCCACUAUCCCAUCAUGCCUUAGGGAACAUGCCCUCGCCAUGCCCUCUCGCAGAAUUAGGAGCUAAGCUUCAGGUGCAGCAACUUCCCUGGCCAUCAAUUCCAGGCAUCUCAAGUCUGCACUUCAGGGGGAGACUGUGAGAGAACCCCAUCCCUGUAAGGCCACGGGGCAAGGAUACCUGCACAGGAGAGUGCCUGAUCAUUAAAGCCAGGGAUUCCCUGCCUGAAGAUCACACAUGCCAGAGAUCUUUGGAACAUUUGCACUUCUGAGCCUCUCUACUCUGUUCAUGCGGCUCCCAGUUUCUUAGACCCCCACCCUCCAAGAUGCGGCAGGAGCUCACUUAUCUUCAUAAACCCAAGCUCUCUCCUGGAGCCCACUCUAUGGGCAGGGUCUGCUGGGAACUGGAGCUUGCCAUCUAGUCACAUAGCCUAUCAUACAAUCACAAUAAUUCAGUGAUUAUAGGACAGAUUACUAAAUAGGCCAUCUGAUUUUUGAUAUUAAAAAUAACCCAGAAGUAUCAGAAUUUACAAUACUCAAUUAGAUUUCUAGCCAUGAGUAUCUAUCUCACUAAGAGUAGCCAGAAUCCUGUACCAAUGAAUAUAGAUUUCUACACAGGAUACAAUGUAAUCUAGUAAAGAAAGUGAAUGAUGAAAGUAGCUUGUUAUCUGACAAGGAGACCACAUGAUCGGUUCCCCGAAAAUCACAAAAAAAAAAUCUUUUGGGUAUUUACUACUUGGCCAGUCCAUGAAAAUAUCAUAGAAAUUAAAAACUCUGGGAAGAGGAAAAAAAUCCUAACAAAUUCUCACAGAACUGAGUAGUGAUAUGCUAGUGAACAAUUGAUUAUGAUACAAAAAAGGGUGAAAGAAAAAGAACACAGCUCUUCUCUUUCAGGGUACUUUUCAAAAGGGAAUAAGUAAUUGACUGUUCCUUCAACCAAGCAAUUCUCCCCUAUCAUUUGAAAAAUAUAUUCUGGGUGCAGUUACAAAAUAAGAUAUAGAGUCUUGUUAUUGUUGUUGUUUUUCCUGGCUCACCCUUUGUGUUGCUGGGCAUCACUUGAUGAUAAAUAAGUAAUUCACAAGUUAUAGAGCAGCAGCAUCUUGCUUAGAGAACAGGAGGAAAAGACAACCAAAUGAAGUCUUAAAUAUCCUGGGAGUAUCUGGGCCAUUUAAAAUAAUGUGAAGUAACCAAGACCACUACUACAUCCCACUUCAUGUUCUUAAAAACCUACUCAUGAACAGCUGAAGCUGAACCAAUUCUUAGUACUUUAGACAUCCUGGGGGUCAGAACUACUGACCAAGUCACCACAGGCAGUGUUCCCCUCCUGCCUGCCACAAAGAUGGCACCACUAGCAGAAAAGAAUCAGUGCUUGUAAUAGUAAAUGCUCUGAUCUUGAAUUCAUUAACAUCUUUGGGUUGUAGCAUUCAUUCAUUCUGAAAACAAAUAUUUAUGGGGUGAGAUGAAGAGACACAACCCAAAUAACAAUGGCCACAGGAAGUGCCAACCUAAAGGAAACCUUACUGAAGGGAUGUGUCACUGCAGUGUGAAGGUAAGUCCAAGUACUGCUUGAGCCAAAACCUAACAGAAGCAGCCUCCAAGGCUUUAGAUACAUUUCAAUCUUGUCUUCAAAAGGUUAUUAUGAAAAAGAGCAGUGGCAACAAAAUUCAGUUGAAAAGUUUCAUAUGAAGACUUAGCUUGGGAUGUCUUAGUCCCUUCUUUGUCAUACCCCAAACCACUUCCGCACAAAAUUGCUAUAUCUCCAUAUGGUUCCAUAGAAACUAGGCACUUUUCAUCUGGGGGCAUGAAAAGCCCUGGUUAUCAUGCUCCGAACAGCAGGAAGUAUUAUUAAGUCUAAUCAUUACUGCUAGUGCUUUAUAGUAUACCUUAGGUUAUUGCCUGAUUUUUAUGAAUAUAGACAAUAAUCAUUAACUCUUAGCGGCAGUAUAGAAUCAUUUCCCCCCACUGUUAAUGUUCUCCCUCAUAAAGGACAUGGAUGAAAAACCUUUGGGGCACCUAAUUCUUUUAUGGAUGAUCCAUGAGCAUAAAGCUAUGACUGUUUAUCUCUUAAGUGUAAUUACCGUAUUUCUCACAUCAAUGCCCACGGUUGAACAUCAAUUAAAACUAGAUGUCCAAUUUUCAUGUUUCAAAUCAAUUUAAUUGUGUGAAGAAAAUCCGUGUUGUAUGCCCUCUGGUAUGUAUCUUUCAGGAGGAAUUACUUUGCCAAUUCUAGAAAGGGUUGUGGAAUACGAGGUGGUUCCUUCUAUGAAAUAAUCCAAUUCUGUAGGCAGCUGCCAUCAAGACCAGAGCUGCCAUACUUGUUCAGAGUAUUUUAGGUCUAAUAGGUAAAUUUUGCUCAUAUUUAGAAAACUGGUAUUAAGUUCAACUUACCUAUAGUAUUUUUUAUACAAAAUCAUUCCCAUGUAAAAAGCUUCAUAGUAAUUAGUUGCUUUUUUCUCCUGAUUAAUUAGUAAUUCACUUAAGGAAAAGGUUAAAGUCAAUACAGUUUCCCAAUUUAAACCUGAAGUAAGUGGAAGACAGAAAACACUAACAUUAAGAGGAAAUAAUGAAAUGGAAAACUGACAAAGAGAAUCAGCAAAGCCAGAAGUUGGCUCUUAAACAAGACUGAUAAAACAACCAUCUAUCAAAACAGAUCAAGAUGAAAGAAAAAAAAUAGAGAAAACAGAAAUUAUAAAUAUUAAGAAUAAAAUAGUGACCAUAACUACAAAGUGUACAAAAAUUAAAAAGUAUAAUUAAGGGAUGUUAUAAACAACUUUAUGACAAUAAAUUUGACAAUGUGGAUGAAAAAGACAAAUUCCUUUAAAGAUACAAGUUACCAAAACUGACACAAAAAGAAAUAGAGAAUCUAAAUAAUAUUGUAUGUGUUAAAGAAAUUGCAUCUGCAAUUAAACAGGAGAAAACUUCCUGGAAGAAAACUCUAAGACUAGAUGUCUCCAUUGUUAAAUACUUUCAAAAAUUAAUAAAAAAAGAUAAUACCUAUCAUACACAAUCUUUUAGAAAAUAAGGCAGAAAAUAUUUCAAGUAUAGGACAGUACAAUCACUUUGGAAAUCUCUUAAAGUUUCUUCAGCAAUAAAAUGUAAUCUAUUCUAUGAUCCAACAAUUCCAUUCCUAGGUAUUUAUGCAAAAGGAGUCACACCACAUACCUACAAAAAGCCCUGAACUACAAUGUCCAUGGCUGCUUUAUUCAUAAUAACCCACGUCUAAGAACAGCUUGCAUGUCUAUCCAGGGACCAACCUACUAUUAUAUAUUCAUACAGUGGACUUUUCAUGAGCAUGAAAAAAAAUAAAGCUACUCAUAUAGGCAGCAAUGUAGAUGAAUCUCAAAAACAUUAUGCAGAGGAAAAAGAAACCAGAAAUAAAAAGUACACACUGCAUGAUCCCAUUUCUACAAAAGUCUAGUGUGGGUAGAGUCAACCAUGAUGAUAGAAAGUCAAACCAGGAAUCAAGGGUUGCUUCUGGGGGCCAGGGAAUAGACCGGAAGGAGGACGGGGAAGCCCCAUAAGGCUUUGGUUUACCCUUAUAUACACAUGAUAAAUGAACAUUUCACUACUUGCAAACUAUGUGUCAAUUAAGAGAAAGGCAACACAGCUCCUUAGCAUUAAGAACCAUUUUAAGUUCUCAUGUUAACAUGUUUUCUCCCUUUAUGACUAGAUGCCUUCCCAACUCUAGGGCUGAAAUAAGCCUUUUUCAUGGUUCUCAUCCUUUGGCCACUUCUCAUGGAACGAGUUUUGUUUUGUUUUAAUAAUGUUUUUUGCCCAGCCAUCUGGAGCUUCCAGCGAGGGCCCUGCCACAUGUCGCUGAAAUGGUUCUCCACUGUUGCUCCGUUUGUGCACGGCCCAUGCAUUCCCAACACACCCAUCCCAAGCAUAGACCUUGUACAUGUUUCACAUUUUACAAACUCUGAAAAAGAACAGAGAGCUCCCUCUCCAAGCCCCUACCUUUGGAAGAGUUUUAAACCACCAUGCCAAGUACAAACCCUUUCUUACCCCACUGGGAAGCAUGGCAGUGACUUGACCCCAUUCUAGACACAGGAACAUAGGGGAAAUCUGAAGACAAGACAGAACUGGAUUUCUAUUCAGCUUGAGCCUCUAGAAUCUUCUCAUGGUUGCCAUUCUUCAGACCAAAUGCCACAUUGCUCGAAGUAAAAUGGCUCCUGAGGGAGAUACUGGAUUGUGUGCACAAAGUAUAGAUAAUGACUUUGGUCUGAACUAUAUUUGCGAUGUUUAUCAGAGUUUAGAUUGUCAGUUUUUAGAUAAAAGCUCUCAAUACUGAAUAGCAUAUGGAAUAGCUGCAAAGAAAUAUGCUUUGGGCUUAAGAAUCAGCAAGUGUUUUAUUUCACAUCAUACUCAAGCAUUCUCUAGAGCUACAAAUUACAAGUUCUAUAAUUUAGGAGCCGAUUUGUAUUUCUGCAAAAGGAAAUUAAAGAUGUCUAGUGUCUUCUGAAUUCGAGCUGAGUGGAAAGCAAGGUCCUACAAAUUUUUUCCAAAGAGAUAAAGCACAAAGUGACAACAGUUGUUCAAUGGUGUAAAGCUUAUUUAUGAUGCUCACUGCGUACAUCAUUUGAAUCAGAUUUUUUUUUCUGGCCACGCCUACAGCAUGCAGAAGUUCCCAAGCCAGGGAUAGAACCCGAGUCACAGUGGUGAUAGUGCCAAAUCCUCAACUGCUAGGCCAUCAAGGAACUCCUUGAAUCAGAUAUUUUGGAAAGACUUAUUCCAUAGGUAUUCUGCAAUACAAACUCAAUUUGGCUUUAGGAAAAAAAAAAUAUUCCCAAAAUAGAAAACUUCCGCAUCUUUGGUUUCUGAAAUUUAUAUAAGAAAAAAAAAAAAGCAAAAGAAGAUGGUCUGAUCUAUCCCAGUAUGCAUUUAUUGUGCUGAACAUAUUAAAUGCGUUUGUUUCUGUUCUACAGUCACAACACAGAAUACAUUUCUAAUGGUGCAAUUCUUACUAUUACAAUUAAACCAAGGUCAUGAAUAAAGUUAUACCAUUAUAAAGGGCAGGAAAAGCCCACAUUAAGAAACCUCUCCAGGAGCUCCUGUUGUGGCUCUGC
Molecule: long non-coding RNA, 6933 nt
Filed under: Sus scrofa (pig)
Lineage: Eukaryota; Metazoa; Chordata; Mammalia; Artiodactyla; Suidae
Description: lncRNA (ENSSSCG00040068648.1)
Source: RNAcentral